RNAcentral lists this ribosomal RNA (463 nucleotides) under uncultured bacterium. RNAcentral's name for it is "partial 16S ribosomal RNA". It matches the Rfam family "Bacterial small subunit ribosomal RNA", at positions 28 to 507 of the family's 1533-position model. The record is from RNAcentral.
GACGAACGCUGGCGGCGUGCUUAACACAUGCAAGUCGAACGGAAAGGCCCGGCUUUUGUGGGGUGCUCGAGUGGCGAACGGGUGAGUAACACGUGAGUAACCUGCCCUUGACUUUGGGAUAACUUCAGGAAACUGAGGCUAAUACCGGAUAGGAGUUAUUGCCGCAUGGUGGGGGUUGGAAAGAUUUGUCGGUUGGGGGUGGACGGGCGUGUGAUUAGCUCGGUGGUAGGGUAGUAGCCUACCAAGGCGUCGACGCAUAGCUGGUCGGAGAGGAUGACCAGCGACACUGGGGAUGAGACACGGCCCAGACUCCUACGGGAGGCGGGAGUGGGGGAUAUAGGACAAGGGGCGGAAGCAUGAGCCAGCCAUGCCGCGUGAGUGAUGAAGGCCUUAGGGUUGAAAAGCGCUUGUACCCGGGAUGAUAAUGACGGUACCGGGAGAAUAAGCGCCGGCUAACUCCGUG